AGCAGAGCAAACCAUCAAAAGUUGACAAGAGCUAGGCAGAGUGCUUCUUCUACAAGAAGCUGGGUCAUUGGAAAAAGAAUUGUCCUACUUAUAUAGCUACCCUUGACCCAAACAGACUUAAGAAUAAGAUAAAGAAGUAAUCAAUUACUUCAUAAGGUACCUAUAUGAUAACUCCUUGUAAUUUUUCUGUUUGUGAUACUACUA
This 204-nucleotide long non-coding RNA is filed under the name Elaeis guineensis (African oil palm). Its description in RNAcentral is "long non-coding RNA (EGUI_LNC056088)". Lineage: Eukaryota; Viridiplantae; Streptophyta; Magnoliopsida; Arecales; Arecaceae. The record is from RNAcentral.